AGUGAACGCUGGCGGUAGGCCUAACACAUGCAAGUCGAACGGCAGCACAGUAAGAGCUUGCUCUUACGGGUGGCGAGUGGCGGACGGGUGAGGAAUACAUCGGAAUCUACUUUUUCGUGGGGGAUAACGUAGGGAAACUUACGCUAAUACCGCAUACGACCUACGGGUGAAAGCAGGGGAUCUUCGGACCUUGCGCGAUUGAAUGAGCCGAUGUCGGAUUAGCUAGUUGGCGGGGUAAAGGCCCACCAAGGCGACGAUCCGUAGCUGGUCUGAGAGGAUGACCACCCACACUGGAACUGAGACGAGCUCCACUCUCUUACGGGAGGAAGCGGUGGGGAUUUUUGGACAAUGGGGAGGGGCCUAAUCCAGCCGGCCCGCUCGGAGAAAAAGGACUGUCGAUUUCAAAAGCCUUUUUGUUGGUAAAGAAAAGCUGCAAUUUAAUCCCAACAGGUUUAGCCGGACCCUAAAAAAUAACCACCGGCUAACUCGGUG
RNAcentral lists this ribosomal RNA (492 nucleotides) under uncultured bacterium. RNAcentral's name for it is "partial 16S ribosomal RNA". It matches the Rfam family "Bacterial small subunit ribosomal RNA", at positions 29 to 507 of the family's 1533-position model. The record is from RNAcentral.